RNAcentral lists this ribosomal RNA (520 nucleotides) under uncultured Bacillus sp. RNAcentral's name for it is "bacterial SSU rRNA". It matches the Rfam family "Bacterial small subunit ribosomal RNA", at positions 9 to 509 of the family's 1533-position model. The record is from RNAcentral. Lineage: Bacteria; Bacillati; Bacillota; Bacilli; Caryophanales; Bacillaceae.
GAGUUUGAUCGUGGCUCAGGACGAACGCUGGCGGCGUGCCUAAUACAUGCAAGUCGAGCGGACCACAAAGAAGCUUGCUUCUGAGUGGUUAGCGGCGGACGGGUGAGUAACACGUGGGCAACCUGCCCUGCAGACUGGGAUAACUUCGGGAAACCGGAGCUAAUACCGGAUAACACUAAGAACCGCAUGGUUCUUGGUUGAAAGAUGGCUUCGGCUAUCACUGCAGGAUGGGCCCGCGGCGCAUUAGCUAGUUGGUGAGGUAACGGCUCACCAAGGCGACGAUGCGUAGCCGACCUGAGAGGGUGAUCGGCCACACUGGGACUGAGACACGGCCCAGACUCCUACGGGAGGCAGCAGUAGGGAAUCUUCCGCAAUGGACGAAAGUCUGACGGAGCGACGCCGCGUGAGCGAAGAAGGUCUUCGGAUCGUAAAGCUCUGUUGUUAGGGAAGAACAAGUACUGUUCGAAUAGGGCGGUACCUUGACGGUACCUAACGAGAAAGCCACGGCCAACUACGUGCC